CAGCAGCCACGGGAAUACGGAGGGAGCUAGCGUUGUUCGGGAUUACUGGGCGUAAAGCGCGCGUAGGCGGUUACUCAAGUCAGAGGUGAAAGCCCGGGGCUCAACCCCGGAACUGCCUUUGAAACUAGGUGACUAGAAUCUUGGAGAGGUCAGUGGAAUUCCGAGUGUAGAGGUGAAAUUCGUAGAUAUUCGGAAGAACACCAGUGGCGAAGGCGACUGACUGGACAAGUAUUGACGCUGAGGUGCGAAAGCGUGGGGAGCAAACAGGAUUAGAUACCCCCGUAGUCCCUGUCUCUUAUAC
This 301-nucleotide ribosomal RNA is filed under the name uncultured bacterium. RNAcentral describes it as "partial 16S ribosomal RNA". It matches the Rfam family "Bacterial small subunit ribosomal RNA", at positions 509 to 807 of the family's 1533-position model. The record is from RNAcentral.